GUUCUCGCUCCAGCAGAACAUACACUAAAAUUGGAGCAAUACAGAGAAGAUUAGCAUGGCCCCUGCACAAGGAUAAAUGCAAAUCCAUGAAGCAUUCCAUAUUUUU
Small nuclear RNA from Urocitellus parryii (Arctic ground squirrel), 106 nucleotides. The record is from Ensembl. NCBI's taxonomy places the organism in Eukaryota, Metazoa, Chordata, Mammalia, Rodentia, Sciuridae.